GACGAACGCUGGCGGCGUGCCUAAUACAUGCAAGUUGAGCGCUGAAGGUUGGUACUUGUACCAACUGGAUGAGCAGCGAACGGGUGAGUAACGCGUGGGGAAUCUGCCUUUGAGCGGGGGACAACAUUUGGAAACGAAUGCUAAUACCGCAUAAAAACUUUAAACACAAGUUUUAAGUUUGAAAGAUGCAAUUGCAUCACUCAAAGAUGAUCCCGCGUUGUAUUAGCUGGUUGGUGAGGUAAAGGCUCACCAAGGCGAUGAUACAUAGCCGACCUGAGAGGGUGAUCGGCCACAUUGGGACUGAGACACGGCCCAAACUCCUACGGGAGGCAGCAGUAGGGAAUCUUCGGCAAUGGACGAAAGUCUGACCGAGCAACGCCGCGUGAGUGAAGAAGGUUUUCGGAUCGUAAAACUCUGUUGGUAGAGAAGAACGUUGGUGAGAGUGGAAAGCUCAUCGAGUGACGGUAACUACCCAGAAAGGGACGGCUAACUACGUG
This 497-nucleotide ribosomal RNA is filed under the name uncultured bacterium. Its description in RNAcentral is "partial 16S ribosomal RNA". It matches the Rfam family "Bacterial small subunit ribosomal RNA", at positions 28 to 507 of the family's 1533-position model. The record is from RNAcentral.